GUGCAGCAGCCGCGGUAAUACGGAGGAUGCAAGCGUUAUCCGGAUUCAUUGGGUUUAAAGGGUGCGCAGGCGGAGUGAUAAGUCAGUGGUGAAAGCCUACAGCUUAACUGUAGAACUGCCAUUGAUACUGUCAUUCUUGAGUAUUGUUGAGGUAGGCGGAAUGUGUCAUGUAGCGGUGAAAUGCUUAGAUAUGACACAGAACACCGAUCGCGAAGGCAGCUUACCAAGCAAUAACUGACGCUCAUGCACGAAAGCGUGGGGAUCAAACAGGAUUAGAUACCCUGGUAGUCCACGCCGUAAACGAUGAUCACUCGAUGUUGGCGAUACACAGUCAGCGUCUUAGGGAAACUAUUAAGUGAUCCACCUGGGGAGUACGGUCGCAAGAUUGAAACUCAAAGGAAUUGACGGGGGCCCGCACAAGCGGAGGAGCAUGUGGUUUAAUUCGAUGAUACGCGAGGAACCUUACCUGGGCUCGAACGUGGAAUGACAGUCGCGGAAACGUGAUCUUCUUCGGACAUUCUACGAGGUGCUGCAUGGUUGUCGUCAGCUCGUGCCGUGAGGUGUCGGGUUAAGUCCCAUAACGAGCGCAACCCCUAUCUUUAGUUGCCAUCAGGUCAUGCUGGGGACUCUAAAGAAACUGCCUACGCAAGUAGUGAGGAAGGCGGGGAUGACGUCAAAUCAGCACGGCCCUUACGUCCAGGGCUACACACGUGCUACAAUGGCCGGUACAGAGGGCAGCUACCUGGUGACAGGAUGCAAAUCUCCAAAGCCGGUCUCAGUUCGGAUCGAAGUCUGAAACUCGACUUCGUGAAGUUGGAUUCGCUAGUAAUCGCGCAUCAGCCAUGGCGCGGUGAAUACGUUCCCGGGCCUUGUACACACCGCCCGUCAAGCCAUGGAAGCUUGGGGUACCUGAAGUUCGUGACCGAAAGGAGCGACCUAGGGUAAAACUAGUGACUGGGGCUAAGUCGUAACAAGGUAACC
This 981-nucleotide ribosomal RNA is filed under the name uncultured Bacteroidota bacterium. Its description in RNAcentral is "bacterial SSU rRNA". It matches the Rfam family "Bacterial small subunit ribosomal RNA", at positions 505 to 1501 of the family's 1533-position model. The record is from RNAcentral. Lineage: Bacteria; Pseudomonadati; Bacteroidota.